UACGUAGGGAGCAAGCGUUGUCCGGAAUCAUUGGGCGUAAAGCGCGCGCAGGCGGCCUCGCGCGCCCGACGUGAAAGCCCCCGGCUUAACCGGGGAGGGUCGUUGGGGACGGCGGGGCUUGAGGGCGGGAGAGGGUGGUGGAAUUCCCGGUGUAGUGGUGAAAUGCGUAGAGAUCGGGAGGAACACCCGUGGCGAAGGCGGCCACCUGGGCCGACCCUGACGCUGAGGCGCGAAGGCGUGGGGAGCGAACGUG
This 253-nucleotide ribosomal RNA is filed under the name uncultured bacterium. RNAcentral describes it as "partial 16S ribosomal RNA". It matches the Rfam family "Bacterial small subunit ribosomal RNA", at positions 524 to 776 of the family's 1533-position model. The record is from RNAcentral.